CACCACUCCAGCCUCGCUGGGUAUUGGGCGUCGCGGCCUCCGCGCGCCUUAAUGUCUCCGGCCGAGCCGACCGUCUCCGAAGCGUUGUGACAUCACGAAUCGCUGGGUGGGACCGGUCCGGCGCCGCGCCGUCAAACCCUUUCACCAAA
Molecule: unclassified non-coding RNA, 149 nt
Filed under: uncultured Teratosphaeria
Lineage: Eukaryota; Fungi; Ascomycota; Dothideomycetes; Mycosphaerellales; Teratosphaeriaceae
Description: sequence contains ITS2
Source: RNAcentral